RNAcentral lists this ribosomal RNA (232 nucleotides) under uncultured bacterium. RNAcentral describes it as "partial 16S ribosomal RNA". It matches the Rfam family "Bacterial small subunit ribosomal RNA", at positions 118 to 347 of the family's 1533-position model. The record is from RNAcentral.
UGAGCAAUCUGCCCUUCUCUUUGGAAUAAGCGUUGGAAACGACGUCUAAUGCCGAAUACGACCUCCUUUCGCAUGAUCGGAGGUGGAAAGCUCCGGCGGAGAAGGAUGAGCUCGCGGCCUAUCAGCUAGUUGGUGUGGGUAAUGGCCCACCAAGGCGACGACGGGUAGCCGACCUGAGAGGGUGAUCGGCCACAUUGGAACUGAGACACGGUCCAGACUCCUACGGGAGCAG